This 1136-nucleotide long non-coding RNA is filed under the name Triticum aestivum (bread wheat). RNAcentral's name for it is "long non-coding RNA (TAES_LNC017328)". The record is from RNAcentral. Lineage: Eukaryota; Viridiplantae; Streptophyta; Magnoliopsida; Poales; Poaceae.
CAUAGUGGCAGCAGUAAACAGAGAGGAACUAAGCAUCUCUGGACAAACAGAGUACUAGAAAACAAAGUAAGUCUGUAUUCAAAAUAGCAGGUCUUCUCAUCAGGUUCAUCGGCCAUUCCAUUCCAUGUUCAUCCUCGAGAGAUUUUUCAUCUGGGCCCAUAGUUGCAACUUGUAAUCUCCUUCUGAGUAGCGGUGCACCUUGCUACUCCCGUCCAUUACACUGAAGCCCCGAGAUCAAUGCACUCAUGUUCCAUUCGCAGCGGAGAAAUGUUGAUAUCCCUCUCAUAUUCACCUUGCGCCACGUCAGUGGCCACAAGCCAGCAGAGAACUUGGAGAGCUGAACGUGAUGGCCAAUUGCAGCAUAACAAUAUAUGCAGCUCCAUUGGUAGCAGCUUCUUGUGGGGUGAAGUACAUUGCAUUUUCCACGAGUUCUCCCCAGCUGAAAUGCAAUUACAGAGCAUGCAUUAGUUAUAUUUCAUGGGGAAUUUUAUUAUGUGUUCACAAGUUCAAAACAACAAACAAAUUUCAAGUAUAUAUGAAAAAAAUGAAACUUGAUAACUAGAAAUAAAUAAAUAACUGACCAGCAUGAACACUUCACGGUUCACGUUCAGAGGCACUUUGACUGUCGAGGCACCGCAAACUAGCUCUCUCCUGGGUCGGAAAUGAAAUUCAAGCUUCAGAUUCACUCGAGAUGAUUCCUUGGCGGCAGAAGAUGUAAGGACGUUUGUUCACUCCAGGUAAAGGAUCUGUCUGCAACAAAGUGGAUUAUUAUAAAUGGUUAACGUAAAAUCGAAUCAGAAGACCACGACAAAGUUUACAGUAUAAGAUAGUCCUUACAUGUCCAGCAGAUAAGUGGAAAUGGAUGGGCGUAUCAUCACCAGCAACAAGUGCAAACGAGCAACACCUCCUGUAUAAAGAGACAAACAUCGUCAGAAACCCAAACUGAAUCAACUAAUCAAAGCAUUCAACCAUGGUGUCCCAGUUAUGGUGCCUGGCGACCUGAGCCGCUGAGCGUAAGGCAGUACAGGCCAGCAUGUAGCGGGGGUCGAUCGAGAUGAGCGAAGAACCGAAGAAUGGAACGGAGAAGAGAUAUCUACUACAGCUAGACACUCGUCCUCAACACAGAUCAUCUUUGC